This 253-nucleotide ribosomal RNA is filed under the name uncultured bacterium. Its description in RNAcentral is "partial 16S ribosomal RNA". It matches the Rfam family "Bacterial small subunit ribosomal RNA", at positions 524 to 776 of the family's 1533-position model. The record is from RNAcentral.
UACAGAGGUCUCAAGCGUUGUUCGGAUUCAUUGGGCGUAAAGGGUGCGCAGGCGGCGCGGUAAGUCGGGUGUGAAAUCUCGGAGCUUAACUCCGAAACUGCAUUCGAUACUGCCGUGCUUGAGGACUGGAGAGGAGACUGGAAUUUACGGUGUAGCGGUGAAAUGCGUAGAUAUCGUAAGGAAGACCAGUGGCGAAGGCGGGUCUCUGGACAGUUCCUGACACUGAGGCACGAAGGCCAGGGGAGCAAACGGG